Molecule: long non-coding RNA, 517 nt
Organism: Solanum tuberosum (potato)
Lineage: Eukaryota; Viridiplantae; Streptophyta; Magnoliopsida; Solanales; Solanaceae
Exons: 2
Source: RefSeq, a predicted model, not a curated record
AACACUGCAUAUUAUCAUUGUACAACAAGCAUGUCAUAUUGUACUGUAUAGGUUUACUCAUUUUUGGCCCUUUCUGGCCCAAUUUGAUUGGCUCUUCAACACGUGGAAGUACAAAACAAAUUGCAUCUGCAUAUACUCGAAAGGUCUCAUUUGAAGCAACACUGAAUCUGUAUCUUUGUAUCCUGCAACUUAGCCCCUCUCAAAAUUGAAACUGCAUGAUUGGAAGGUCCUUUUUGAAAUGUGUCAACCGAUAGAAGAAAUGUAACAAUAUCAAAUGUCUCAGAAGCCAUUGUUGACAUCCCAGUUCCAAAAGAUGUCAAAUUAUAAUUAUGUCCACCGACAAUAGAAGAUGCAGAUGAUCAUUCCAAAUCUAAUAUAGUGUAUGAGGAGAUCAUUCAAAAUGCAUUCACAUGAAAUCCUAACUUCUCUAUCAUUCGGAAGAAAAUCUACUAAACCAAAAAAGCCACCAAAUGUUUUCCAGUAAAAGCUAUUAGAAGACUCCGCACUACGUAACAAG